CCGGGCCCCUUAUCCGCUUUGUUGGUUGAGGUAACGGCUCACCAAGGCUCCGACGGGUAGCUGGUCUGAGAGGACGAUCAGCCACACUGGGACUGAGACACGGCCCACACUCCUACGGGAGGCAGCAGCAGGGAAUUUUGCACAAUGGGCGAAAGCCUGAUGCACCGACGCCGCGUGCGGGAUGAAUGCCUUCGGGUUGUAAACCGCUUUCAGGAGGGACGAAGCGAAAGUGACGGUACCUCCAGAAGAAGCCCCGGCCAACUACGUGCCAUCAGCCGCGGUAAUACGUAGGGGGCGAACGUUGUCCGGAUUUAUUGGGCGUAAAGAGCUCGUACGCGGCUCAGCAAGUCGGCCGUGAAAACCCGGGGCUCAACCCCGGGACGCCGGUCGAAACUGCUGUGGCUAGGGUUCGGUAGAGGAGAGUGGAAUUCCCGGUGUACCGGUGAAAUGCGCAGAUAUCGGGAGGAACACCAGUAGCGAAGGCGGCUCUCUGGGCCGAUACCGACGCUGAGGAGCGAAAGCUAGGGGAGCAAACAGGAUUAGAUACCCUGGUAGUCCUAGCCGUAAACGUUGGGCACUACGUGUGGCGGACUCAUUGACGUCUGCCGUGCCGCAGCUAACGCAUUAAGUGCCCCGCCUGGGGAGUACGG
RNAcentral lists this ribosomal RNA (650 nucleotides) under uncultured actinomycete. RNAcentral's name for it is "bacterial SSU rRNA". It matches the Rfam family "Bacterial small subunit ribosomal RNA", at positions 229 to 885 of the family's 1533-position model. Lineage: Bacteria; Bacillati; Actinomycetota; Actinomycetes; Actinomycetales. The record is from RNAcentral.